This 468-nucleotide ribosomal RNA is filed under the name uncultured bacterium. RNAcentral describes it as "partial 16S ribosomal RNA". It matches the Rfam family "Bacterial small subunit ribosomal RNA", at positions 28 to 507 of the family's 1533-position model. The record is from RNAcentral.
GACGAACGCUGGCGGCGUGCUUAACACAUGCCAGUCGAACGGAAAGGCCCUGCUUUUGUGGGGUGCUCGAGUGGCGAACGGGUGAGUAACACGUGAGUAACCUGCCCUUGACUUUGGGAUAACUUCAGGAAACUGGGGCUAAUACCGGAUAGGAGCUCCUGCUGCAUGGUGGGGGUUGGAAAGUUUCGGCGGUUGGGGAUGGACUCGCGGCUUAUCAGCUUGUUGGUGGGGUAGUGGCUUACCAAGGCUUUGACGGGUAGCCGGCCUGAGAGGGUGACCGGCCAAAUUGGGACUGGGAUACGGCCCAGACUCCUACGGGAGGCAGCAGUGGGGAAUAUUGCACAAUGGGCGGAAGCCUGAUGCAGCAACGCCGCGUGCGGGAUGACGGCCUUCGGGUUGUAAACCGCUUUCGCCUGUGACGAAGCGUGAGUGACGGUAAUGGGUAAAGAAGCACCGGCUAACUACGUG